GUCCUGUUGAUUAUAAUUUCAGGUCUGACCUGCCCAAUGAGGAUUUUAAAUGGCCGCAGUAUUUUGACUGUGCAAAGGUAGCAUAAUCAUUAGUUUUUUAAUUGAAAACUGGAAUGAAAGGUUUGAUGAAAAAAUUUCUGUCUCUAGAAAAGUUUAUUAGAAUUUUAUUUUUAGGUAAAAAAGCUUAAAUGUGCAUAGAAGACGAGAAGACCCUAUAGAGUUUUAUAUUUAUAAAAACAUUAUUAUUUUUGGGAAUUAAAAAUUUUGUUUUGAGUAAGUAUUUUGUUGGGGUGAUAGAAAAAUUUGAUUAACUUUUUUUUUAUUUAUACACUGAUGUGUGAAUGAAUGAUCCUAGAGUUUAGAUUAUAAGAUUAAAUUACCUUAGGGAUAACAGCGUAAUUUUUUUAAGAGUUCUUAUCGGAAGAAAAGAUUGCGACCUCGAUGUUGGAUUAAAAUUAAUUUUUGGUGAAGAAGCUAAAAAAUUAGGUCUGUUCGACCUUUAAAAUUUUACAUGAUCUGAGUUUAAACCGGCGUGAG
RNAcentral lists this ribosomal RNA (537 nucleotides) under Trigonopterus sp. 249 AR-2022a. Its description in RNAcentral is "partial large subunit ribosomal RNA". It matches the Rfam family "Bacterial large subunit ribosomal RNA", at positions 1819 to 2625 of the family's 2925-position model. Lineage: Eukaryota; Metazoa; Arthropoda; Insecta; Coleoptera; Curculionidae. The record is from RNAcentral.